RNAcentral lists this unclassified non-coding RNA (384 nucleotides) under Hevea brasiliensis (rubber tree). Lineage: Eukaryota; Viridiplantae; Streptophyta; Magnoliopsida; Malpighiales; Euphorbiaceae. The record is from RNAcentral.
GAAGAGUUAGAGUUGAAGAACUCCAUGCUCAAACAGGCAAACAAUGAUUUUACUCGGGAAGUGGCGAACCUGAACAUUAAACUCAAGUGGAUUGAGGUGAGUUCUUGAAGGAGAAAGAGGAAGUUCCAAAAGAGAGAAAUGAAAAGGCCCCCCUUGAGGCUCAUGUCAUCGAACUACAAGCUAGGGUCUCUACCUUGGAAUAAGAAAUGGAUGGGCAUGUAGCUAAGGCUUAUCUGGACUUGCAAGAAACUAUUUACAAAUGACUUAAUUGGCUGCAUUUGAAUUUAAACUUCAAAUGGGUUAAUACCAUUUUUCAAGGGGAAGAGGAUGAUGUUGAAGCUAAUGAAGGUCCGAGGGAGAAUGACCCCGAGCCCUAAAAAAUUC